RNAcentral lists this transfer RNA (72 nucleotides) under Callorhinchus milii (elephant shark). RNAcentral describes it as "tRNA-Glu (TTC) (tRNA-Glu-TTC-11-1)". It matches the Rfam family "tRNA". Rfam says of the family: Transfer RNA (tRNA) molecules are approximately 80 nucleotides in length. Their secondary structure includes four short double-helical elements and three loops (D, anti-codon, and T loops). Further hydrogen bonds mediate the characteristic L-shaped molecular structure. tRNAs have two regions of fundamental functional importance: the anti-codon, which is responsible for specific mRNA codon recognition, and the 3' end, to which the tRNAs corresponding amino acid is attached (by aminoacyl-tRNA synthetases). tRNAs cope with the degeneracy of the genetic code in two manners: having more than one tRNA (with a specific anti-codon) for a particular amino acid; and 'wobble' base-pairing, i.e. permitting non-standard base-pairing at the 3rd anti-codon position. The record is from Rfam by way of RNAcentral. Lineage: Eukaryota; Metazoa; Chordata; Chondrichthyes; Chimaeriformes; Callorhinchidae.
UCCCUAAUGGUCUAGUGGACAGGAUUCGGCGCUUUCACCGCCGCGGCCCGGGUUCGAUUCCCGGUCAGGGAA